UCUUUUUCCUCUAUUUUUUGAGAUUUCCUACUACUUUUCCCCCUUUACUUCAUUAAUUAAGUACCAAAAACCAAACAUCUUCAUUGAAAAGGUUCCUGUUGAAGAAACUUAACUGUUUCUUCCAUCAUAUUGAAAAUAACGAAGCCUAGCAGUUUAUAACAAGUAAAACCAACCAAACCUUUCUCUUUGUUUACGUAAUUUAUACAUCGAUGUGGUUACGUCUUACUCCUUCCAUUCUCUCAUUAUUCAUAAAUGUGGUAACCCGUUACUGCAAUUCCAUUCUUUCUAUUUUAAAUAAGCAUUUAAACAUUUAAUUCUUUUUAAUAGUUCAUCAAUGUGCUUACCCGUUAUAUAUUACUUGAUCAUUUUGUAUUCUAUGAGAUUUGGCAAUCAAGUAAAUGGACGCAUGUAGAUACAGAGGUUCGUGAAGUACAAAGAGACAAAUAAGCAACGUACGUCAGUGACCGGUAGAAGCCGCAUGCCAAGAUUGUUAGUACUAUAUGUUUGAUACUAUACAGUGAGGAACAAAGAUCUCUUGCAUUCUCCUCUAAAUCUCCGCUGCCAGUGCCAGAAGCCUCGCCCCAAGAUUGAUAUUUUCUACAUCUAAUCAGCAAGUUCACAUGAAUGUUCACAACUUGUACUCCAUCUUUUUAUCAUGAGGUCAAUUGCUCUUUCCUAUAUAUGUCCUGUUGGGUUAAUAAUAAGUAGCAACAUUUCAUACCUGCAGAGACUAGACUCAACAGAAACUUGAGUUGCACCGUAGAAAGAUUGGAAUUGAUCAUCUGAACCCAACCAAGUUCCAGCUAAUGGGCUCAUUGGAGGGUUAGUUGUCUUCUGGAAUGAGGCUCUCAUCACUGUAGAGGAAUUGAUAAUGUCUGAGCAGGAGAUACACUGCCUCGUUCAGGUACCUACUAAGGAUGCUCCAUGAUCCGCAGCUUACACAUAUGUAUAGAGAACAAAAAAGAUUAGCAGAUAAAUUAGCAAAUUUGGGAAGUCUUUUGCAAGCAACUUAUCAAAUAGAAGUCUUGCACCCGCCACCACUUUUUGCUGAACAAAUUUUGGAAGAUGACAAGUUAGGACUGCAAAGGAUCCGCUCAAUAUCACAAAAUGUACAUGAUGUUCAAGAUCAACCACCUAUAGUGCAUGGACGGAACCUUUAUAGUCUUAGUCCAAGCUGUAUUGGCGGCUUAAAUAGAGAUAGAUCUACUACUAAUAUUUGUAAUAUAAGAUCUGCUACUACUCCUAACUUAAUUGGCUAUAUGCUUACUGCUACUACAAGUAACUUGGUUUGUAAUAUGGUGCAAUAUAUGCACCAGCCACUCUGUACGCAUGCUUAGUUAUAUAUAA
Nicotiana tabacum (common tobacco) is the source of this 1347-nucleotide non-coding RNA. The record is from RefSeq and is a predicted model, not a curated record. Lineage: Eukaryota; Viridiplantae; Streptophyta; Magnoliopsida; Solanales; Solanaceae.